RNAcentral lists this ribosomal RNA (497 nucleotides) under uncultured bacterium. Its description in RNAcentral is "bacterial SSU rRNA". It matches the Rfam family "Bacterial small subunit ribosomal RNA", at positions 12 to 507 of the family's 1533-position model. The record is from RNAcentral.
UUUGAUCAUGGCUCAGAUUGAACGCUGGCGGCAUGCCUUACACAUGCAAGUCGAACGGUAACGGGCCUUCGGGUGCCGACGAGUGGCGAACGGGUGAGUAAUGCAUCGGAACGUACCUUUCAGUGGGGAUAACGUAGCGAAAGUUACGCUAAUACCGCAUAUCCUGUGAGCAGGAAAGCAGGGGAUCGCAAGACCUUGCGCUGAUUGAGCGGCCGAUGUCAGAUUAGCUAGUUGGUGAGGUAAAGGCUCACCAAGGCGACGAUCUGUAGCGGGUCUGAGAGGAUGAUCUGCCACACUGGAACUGAGACACGGUCCAGACUCCUACGGGAGGCAGCAGUGGGGAAUUUUGGACAAUGGGGGCAACCCUGAUCCAGCCAUGCCGCGUGAGUGAAGAAGGCCUUCGGGUUGUAAAGCUCUUUCGGCCGGGAAGAAAUCGCAUGGGUUAAUACCCUGUGCGGAUGACGGUACCGGCAUAAGAAGCACCGGCUAACUACGUG